This 406-nucleotide ribosomal RNA is filed under the name uncultured bacterium. RNAcentral describes it as "partial 16S ribosomal RNA". It matches the Rfam family "Bacterial small subunit ribosomal RNA", at positions 30 to 526 of the family's 1533-position model. The record is from RNAcentral.
AUUGAACGCUGGCGGCAUGCCUAAUACAUGCAAGUCGAGCGAGCGGCGGACGGGUGAGUAAUGUAUGGGGACCUGCUCGACCGAGGGGGAUAACUACUGGAACCGGUGGCUAAUACCGCAUACUAUCGGAUGAACCCAUAUGGGAUUAGCCAGUAGGUGGGGUAAAGGCUCACCAAGGCGACGAUCUCUAGCUGGUCUGAGAGGAUGAUCAGCCACACUGGGACUGAGACACGGCCCAGACUCCUACGGGAGGCAGCAGUGGGGAAUAUUGCACAAUGGGCGCAAGCCUGAUGGAGCCAUGCCGCGUGUAUGAAGAAGGCCUUAGGGUUGUAAAGUACUGUCAGCGGGGAGGCGUUACCCGCAGAAGAAGCACCGGCUAACUACGUGCCAGCCGCCGCGGUAAUAC